RNAcentral lists this ribosomal RNA (368 nucleotides) under uncultured Anaeromyxobacter sp. RNAcentral's name for it is "bacterial SSU rRNA". It matches the Rfam family "Bacterial small subunit ribosomal RNA", at positions 95 to 447 of the family's 1533-position model. Lineage: Bacteria; Pseudomonadati; Myxococcota; Myxococcia; Myxococcales; Anaeromyxobacteraceae. The record is from RNAcentral.
GCGGCGCACGGGUGAGUAACACGUGGGUAAUCUGCCCUAGAGUCCGGAAUAACUCGCCGAAAGGCGCGCUAAUGCCGGAUGAGACCACGGGAGCCUCGGCUCCCGCGGGGAAAGGUGGCCUCUGUAUACAAGCUAUCGCUCUAGGAUGAGCCCGCGGCCCAUCAGCUCGUUGGCGGGGUAAUGGCCCACCAAGGCUACGACGGGUAGCUGGUCUGAGAGGACGAUCAGCCACACUGGAACUGAGACACGGUCCAGACUCCUACGGGAGGCAGCAGUGGGGAAUCUUGCGCAAUGGGCGAAAGCCUGACGCAGCAACGCCGCGUGUGUGAUGAAGGUCUUCGGAUCGUAAAGCACUGUCGCGAGGGACG